This 512-nucleotide ribosomal RNA is filed under the name Platycerus tangi. RNAcentral's name for it is "partial 16S ribosomal RNA". The stretch from base 127 to 328 matches the Rfam family "Archaeal large subunit ribosomal RNA", at positions 1796 to 2107 of the family's 2987-position model. Lineage: Eukaryota; Metazoa; Arthropoda; Insecta; Coleoptera; Lucanidae. The record is from RNAcentral.
UUUUAUUGUUAAUUUAGAUUUAUUGAUCUUUAAUUAAUUUAUUAAUAUACUGUAUCAAAUUUAAAUUUAUGGGUAAUUAUGAUUAAAUUAGUAUAAUUUUAAUGUAAAUUUAAUUACAUUUUUAAGAUAAAAUUAAGGAAUUCGGCAAAUUUAUUUUCUGCCUGUUUAUUAAAAACAUGUCUUUUUGUAAUUAUUUAAAGUCGGGCCUGCCCUAUGAUUAUUUAAAUGGCCGCGGUAUUUUGACCGUGCAAAGGUAGCAUAAUAAUUAGUUUCUUAAUUAGAAGCUGGUAUGAAUGGUUUGACAAGAAAAUUUCUGUCUCAAUUUUAUUAUUAGAAUUUAACUUUUGAGUUAAAAGGCUUAAAUGUUUUUGAAAGACGAGAAGACCCUAUAGAAUUUUAUAAUUAAUUUAAUUAAGAUUUUAUGGAUUAUUUAUUUUUGAUUAGGUUAGUUAUUUUGUUGGGGUGAUGGAAAAACUUAAAUAACUUUUUCUUAUUUAUUCAUUAAUUUAUGA